Molecule: long non-coding RNA, 3692 nt
Filed under: Homo sapiens (human)
Lineage: Eukaryota; Metazoa; Chordata; Mammalia; Primates; Hominidae
Description: neuroblastoma associated transcript 1
Source: RNAcentral
CUAGAAUGAGAAUGCACAGCAAGCGGCAGACAAUCACCCGGCAUUCGGCAUCUCUUUCUUUUCACGCGCUCCCUCGCUCCGCCUUUCUCCAGCUCUGCCUUCUCAGGCAGAUACAUCAGAUACCUUGUUUAUCCAUCUUCAGCUCCACUCUGAGGGCGCAGACGCACGAUUCCGGGAUCGGGUGCACCACGGCGAAGCCCAGGCGGGAGACGGCAGGAGCAGCUCAGAUGAAGAAACUGAAACCCACAGAGAUGAAGUAACAUCCUCAAGAUCAAAAGGUAACAAACGAUUGAGGCAGGAUUUGGAUAUUGCUCUACAUGACGGGAAAGCCUGUGCUCUUGGAAUUACAGUCAUAGUACAACAGAUCAAGUUCAAAGCAUCAUCUAAGUCAAGGAAAACCAGUAAAGAGGUUUGGAGAGACAAACAGGGUCAACUCCAGGCAUUUGGGUCAGCAGAAACGGCACGAUUGAGCAGCACUGUGACUAUAGGAUCAUGGAUCAGAGGCUGCUUCCUCUUUGGUUCUGGGCAUCAGCCUCAUGUCCACUCAAAGUAAGUGGCCCCUCUGAUUGGAAUCGGAGGUGCCUGGGUCAUCUCACAGAGCCAAACAAAUACAAUUAGCUAUUGCAAAGCCUUUUGGGAAUUAUUCCCAGUGUAAAUAAACACAUAACCAUAUAGCAAGAGCCUUGAUAAAGUCCAAAAACAUGCAAACUUGGAGUAUCUAAGAGAAAAGACCACAAUGUAAAUGAAAAACCAAAUAAACUCGGGCAAACCAUAGGAUAGGGCCCUGUCUGUGAUGGCCUGCAUAUGAUGAGCCAUAGAAAAAGGAUGGUGAAUUCUGGAUAAUAAGAAAUGUCAAUGAGAUGCAAGAACCACCUGUUUUAUGUAAAGCUCCAAAUAACCAGAUCACAGUGGACAGCCACUCAAAUAAUGCCUUCAUAAUACAGAGUAUUAUUGAGAAUAACUCAGUUCACAGAGAGCUUAAGGCAGCCAAUAUUUGAUAGCCUGUCAGAAAAAAACAGAACAGUAAUUAUAGAAAAGAAUCAUAUCCUCGGAAAAACAAAAAUUAAUCAAACUAAGUUUGUAAAGUCUAUCUUACAGACACAUUGUCUGGACUGGUCCUCUCAAAAAUACUGUUUUUUUUUAAUGCCAAUUUGUUUAGUUAAUGAUUUUUGUCUUAUUACUUCAAAACUGGAAAUAUCCUAUGACUCAUAAUAUCUUACAACCUUUCUACUUUCUUAAAGAAUCUCAAGUUUAUAAUCACAGGGGAUCGGAUUAUUUUUCAAAAAUUAAAUGGUGAUGUAAUGAUUUCUGUGUCUAUUGUAGAAAAGUCAACCUUAUUACAGCUGCAACAAUGGCAUUAAGAAAUAUGAGUAAUUCCAAUCAACUUGAGAUAAUGUCUAAUCAAACACAAAUACAACUGGUAAAUUUCAUUAAAUAGCAUGGAGAUUAAAUUAAAACACUAUUAUGUAAUAAAAACCUUUAGUGGUACUAAAAUUUUAGAAUAGUUCAGAUAUACAGAAAAAUUUCAAAGAUACACAGAGUUCCCAUUUUUUUCCUAUUACUAACCUCUCAUAUUUGUCACAACUAAUGAAUAUUCAAUAGAGUAUUAUUAACUAAAGCCUAUACAUUUAUUUAGAUUUCCUUAGUUUUUAGCUAACAUUCUUUUUCUUUGUUCCAGGAUCCCAUCCGGGCCACCACAUUGAAUUUAUUUGUCAUUUUAGGUACCUCUUGGCUGUGAGUUUCUUAGACUUUCCUUGUUUUUGGUGACCCUGACAGUUUGAGGGAGUACUAGUCAGUCAGUUAUUUUUGCAGAAUGCCCUAAAUUUGAGUUUGGCUGAUGUUUUUCUUAGGGUUUGACUGGGGUUAUGGGUUUUGGGGAGGAAGACCACAGAGGUGAAGUACCAUUCUCACCAAAUUAUAUUAAAGGUACAUACCAUCAGCAUGCCUUAUACUAUUGAUGUGAACUUUGAUUGCCUGGCUGUGGUAGUGUUUGUCAUGUUUCUUCACUGUAAAGUUACUCUUCUCAUCACCCACUUUUCUGUACUGUACUCUUUGGAAGAAAGUCACUAUAUGCAUCCCAAAUUUAAGGAGUGGGAAGUUAUGCUCCACCCAUUUGUAAGCAGAAAAUCUACAUAAUUUGUUUGGCAUUCUUCUGCAUAGGAAAAUCAUCUCACUCUCCCAGUUAUUUAUUUAUUUGAUCUUUUUUUAUAUCAGUAUGGACUCAUGGGUAUUUCUUUUAUACUUUGGGUUAUAAUCCAAUACUAACACAAUAAAGAAAUUUUUAAUGGAGAUGCAUUCAAAUUCGUUGCUAAAAUGGGCCUGACACCUCUUGACCUUGGCUAAACAGAGAUUCUGGAUGGAGCAAAGCACUGUGACGUCAUGUGGACUUUGAAGGUUAAGAAACUACGGAUCAUCAGGACAUAUUUGCUCUUCCAUCUCACAGAGAAAAUGGGGAUAUACCUCCUCAUUCCAGGAAACUUUCUUCCUAUAUUUCUAAUAUAUCCAGGAUAAAAUUCAAUAUAUAUAGUCAGUAGCUUCAAAGUUAAGCAUAAUUUGUUUACUAGAAUUCUUAAGGCAGAUGUUGGAUCAUUAACUCAUUCUCUUAGAAAUAACUUUGGUGCUUAUAAGUAGGCAUCACAUAAUCUGAUACACUGAUAUUAUAUAUAUAAUCGUGAAAAACAUAUCAGAUUAUAUGAUAUCACAUAAUCUGAUAUAUGUGAUAUAUAAUCAGAUUAUGUGGUAUCAUAUAAUCUGAUAUAUAAAUGUUUUUCAUAAUUAUACAUAUAUUUCAAGUAUAAUUGUGAAAAACAUUUGCCAGUUUAAAGUUUAAUAUGUAGACAGAAUAAUGCCUGGAGGUAUAGGGAUAUAAUUGGGAAUUAGAGUAAUAAAAUAAAUAUUUUAAGUACUUACUACAUAUUACUCAUUAACACAAAAGUAACUUUACGUAUAAAAUGCAUGACAAGACUCCAUUAUAAAGAAGUGUCUGAAAGCUAUAGGGCAGAAAGGUAUAGAACACAGUAUAGACUAGAAGGAGAUAAAGACAAUCAGAAGAUUUUAUUCAUUCAUUUAUUCAACAAAAAUUUACAGAGUACCUCCAAUUAUCAGCAGCUGUGCUGAAGAUUAGGUAUAUUACCUACACAGUUACAAAUUUUGCUUUCAUGUAGUCUGCAGGAAGAGAGACAUUAAUCAAAGAAUGGCACUAUUGACACUUGUGCAGGAAAGGGUUACGUCAACAGGCCUGGGCUGCUCAAACCUUGCGUAUUCCCAGAGUCUCAAGACUGGUCUUGGCCUGGCUCCUGGGAAGAUUACUUCUGAGCCCUUGGCUGAGAUAGGAGUUUAUGCCAACAGUGUGAUUUAUGGCAAACACCUGUUUUUGUAUGCCUGAGGCUUUGGAUCAUGCUGUACCAAUUUGAUCUGAGGCCUGAAGACUGGUAGCUAAGGUGCUGCAUGCCUACAUGACUGACCUCCAGUAAAAACCCUGGACACAUGCCUCAAGUGAGUUUCGUUGGUUGGCAACACUUUACAUAUGUUGUCACACGUUGUUGCUGAGAAAAUUAAGUGUACUCCAUGUAAUGGCACUGGGAGAGGACAACUGGAAGCUGGUGCUUAAUUUCUCCUCUACUCCACGCUAUCCACCUUUUCACUUCGCUGAGUUUUUUCUGUAUCCUUUCAAUGUAAUAAACUUUAACCAU